Molecule: long non-coding RNA, 781 nt
Filed under: Mytilus galloprovincialis (Mediterranean mussel)
Lineage: Eukaryota; Metazoa; Mollusca; Bivalvia; Mytilida; Mytilidae
Source: RNAcentral
GUUUCGUAUAUGCAAAGCAGUAAUGGUGGGGCCCUGUACGGGUUAAUUGCUGGACACAAGUGUUGAAAGUGAGAAAAUAUAAUAAUUAAAAGUAAAUGCUCUUUUCAUAAAAUAUUAAAAACAAAUGAUUGAUGUAUAAAAUUCUUUAACCAUAUGUAAAUGCCCUAUAAUAUUAACAUUAAUACAGAUCACCCCAAGCCCAAUACAGUAGAGUUCACAUUGGUUAUGAUCGAUAAUUAGCAGGAGUUUUUGUUUUAAAAAUUAACCCCAAAUGUAAUCUAUGGACAAUUGUUUAAAUCCAAUCAAUUAUUAACACCCUUUGAAGUAGAAUGGUCAGUGUUUUUACAACAAUUAUCUGUUUGACAUUUUUAUGACCUCGAGGCUUAAAAUAGAACAUGGGAAACUUUACCUGUGUAGACAUCGAGGUUUAUUUUUAAAUCAAAUUCCAUAAUAUAAACACGAAAGAAACUGUUUUAAAACUUUAUUUCAAUAACACAAAAGUAAAUAUGAAAUAAUAACGAAAAUAAGGUUGCAUUCAAGAAAAAUAUACUUACCAAAUGACCGUUUCCGGUCAAAAAUCUCGUCAGUUUUAACUAAGCAUAUCUAGACGGCAAUAAUUUUCUAUGCAAUAAACCGAAAGGCCACUUGUAGAGCUAUGCAUAUAACCGGACAAUUUAACAUUAGAUGAAUGGGAAAUGGUUUUGUGCAGGAGAAAACUAUGCAAUUAACCGAAUUAUGCUAUUAAGCGGUAUGCAAUUAAGUGGAAUCGACUGUACUGACA